Molecule: long non-coding RNA, 430 nt
Filed under: Elaeis guineensis (African oil palm)
Lineage: Eukaryota; Viridiplantae; Streptophyta; Magnoliopsida; Arecales; Arecaceae
Description: long non-coding RNA (EGUI_LNC058891)
Source: RNAcentral
UUGAGAGUCACAAUCCAUGGUGGAUUGGGCUCACGAGCAUGUCGCAUGGAUCGAUCGGGUGUUUUCUGCCCAAUUUCUCACGACCCAUGUGGACUGGUGUAUGGUUUCUCACCUAUUUCUCAUGGCUCAUGAUGUUUUGGUGGGCUAAGGACUCAUGUGUUGUGCGAUCAGAUGAUCAACAUGGGUCGCAAUCAGGAUCUGACGGCUUGGAGAGGUUCUGGAGUUUUGAUAGAAGUGUUUCUCCAAUCUAAACCCUAUUUGAGGCCUUUAAAGGCCCUGUGGGCAAAACAGAGGUCUUGGGAGUGGGCAUGGUUCGAUAGUGAGCCCUAAACAAUAGCAGCAGAUUGAGUGGAGCCGACAGAGAGCAGAAGCAAGGGUUCUUCAGGCAGCGGACAGCGGUCAUUCCAGAGGUUCACGAGAUCUCCUAGAG